This 99-nucleotide signal recognition particle RNA is filed under the name Burkholderiaceae bacterium. RNAcentral's name for it is "signal recognition particle sRNA small type". It matches the Rfam family "Bacterial small signal recognition particle RNA". From Rfam's summary of the family: The signal recognition particle (SRP) is a universally conserved ribonucleoprotein involved in the co-translational targeting of proteins to membranes. Archaeal SRP consists of a 7S RNA and homologues of the eukaryotic SRP19 and SRP54 proteins. In most bacteria, the SRP consists of a 4.5S RNA and the Ffh protein (a homologue of the eukaryotic SRP54 protein). The record is from RNAcentral. Lineage: Bacteria; Pseudomonadati; Pseudomonadota; Betaproteobacteria; Burkholderiales; Burkholderiaceae.
GGCGGGUCCCCUCGCAUACACUUGUCGUAAACCUGGUCAGGUCGGGAACGAAGCAGCCAUAGCGAAUUUAGUGUAGUGCCGAGGAUCAGGCUCGCCUCC